Triticum aestivum (bread wheat) is the source of this 134-nucleotide non-coding RNA. NCBI's taxonomy places the organism in Eukaryota, Viridiplantae, Streptophyta, Magnoliopsida, Poales, Poaceae. The record is from Rfam.
AUUAUACUCUCUCCGUCCGAAAAUACUUGUCAUCAAAAUGGACAAAAACGGAUGUAUCUAAAACUAAAAUACAUCUAGAUACAUCCCCUUUAUCCAUUUUGAUGACAAGUAUUUCCGGACGGAGGGAGUAUAUA